GUGGGGAAUAUUGGACAAUGGGCGAAAGCCUGAUCCAGCCAUGCCGCGUGUGUGAAGAAGGUCUUCGGAUUGUAAAGCACUUUAAGUUGGGAGGAAGGGCAGUAAGUUAAUACCUUGCUGUUUUGACGUUACCGACAGAAUAAGCACCGGCUAACUUCGUGCCAGCAGCCGCGGUAAUACGAAGGGUGCAAGCGUUAAUCGGAAUUACUGGGCGUAAAGCGCGCGUAGGUGGUUUUGUAAGUUGGAGGUGAAAUCCCCGGGCUCAACCUGGGAACUGCCUCCAAAGCUGCAUGACUAGAGUACGGUAGAGGGUAGUGGAAUUUCCUGUGUAGCGGUGAAAUGCGUAGAUAUAGGAAGGAACACCAGUGGCGAAGGCGACUACCUGGACUGAUACUGACACUGAGGUGCGAAAGCGUGGGGAGCAAACAGGAUUAGAAACCCGGGUAGUCC
RNAcentral lists this ribosomal RNA (450 nucleotides) under uncultured bacterium. RNAcentral's name for it is "partial 16S ribosomal RNA". It matches the Rfam family "Bacterial small subunit ribosomal RNA", at positions 354 to 796 of the family's 1533-position model. The record is from RNAcentral.